Molecule: ribosomal RNA, 473 nt
Filed under: uncultured bacterium
Lineage: Bacteria
Description: partial 16S ribosomal RNA
Rfam family: Bacterial small subunit ribosomal RNA
Source: RNAcentral
GAUAAACGCUGGCGGCGCACAUAAGACAUGCAAGUUGAACGGACUUAAUCGAAAUAUUUAUAUUUUGAAGCGGUUAGUGGCGGACUGGUGAGUAACGCGUAAGGAACCUGCCUAUUAGAGGGGAAUAACAGUGAGAAAUCAUUGCUAAUACCGCAUAUGCCAUAGAUAUCACAUGAUAACAGUGGGAAAGGAGCAAUCCGCUAAUAGAUGGCCUUGCGUCUGAUUAGAUAGUUGGUGGGGUAACGGCCUACCAAGUCGACGAUCAGUAGCCGGACUGAGAGGUUGAACGGCCACAUAGGGACUGAGAGACGGCCCAGACUCCUACGGGAGGCAGCAGUCGGGAAUAUUGCGCAAUGGAGGAAACUCUGACGCAGUGACGCCGCGUAUAGGAAGAAGGUUUUCGGAUUGUAAACUAUUGUCGUUAGGGAAGAGAAAGGACAGUACCUAAGGAGGAAGCUCCGGCUAACUACGUG